CAGCAGCCGCGGUAAUACGAAGGGGGCUAGCGUUGUUCGGAAUUACUGGGCGUAAAGCGCACGUAGGCGGAUAUUUAAGUCAGGGGUGAAAUCCCGCAGCUCAACUGCGGAACUGCCUUUGAUACUGGGUAUCUUGAGUAUGGAAGAGGUUAGUGGAAUUGCGAGUGUAGAGGUGAAAUUCGUAGAUAUUCGCAGGAACACCAGUGGCGAAGGCGGCUAACUGGUCCGGUACUGACGCUGAGGUGCGAAAGCGUGGGGAGCAAACAGGAUUAGAUACCCCCGUAGUCCCUGUCUCUUAUAC
RNAcentral lists this ribosomal RNA (301 nucleotides) under uncultured bacterium. RNAcentral describes it as "partial 16S ribosomal RNA". It matches the Rfam family "Bacterial small subunit ribosomal RNA", at positions 509 to 807 of the family's 1533-position model. The record is from RNAcentral.